UGACUACUUUGCAUAUUGCAACUUUCGAGUUCUUACAUGACAUGUAUGUUCGAACUCUCUUUUGAUCAUUGUUCAGUGUACUCGAUCACUCUUUCGAGCACCUAUGUGUUUGCUUUAGUGUCCAACACUAAAUGACAUGAGACUAGUCAUACUCACGCUUAAGUCGACAUAACACAUACUAACCUUAGCGGAUUGUCAAUGCCCAAUUGGCAAUCCUAUGGCUAGGAACGUUUUAG
Molecule: long non-coding RNA, 236 nt
Filed under: Malus domestica (apple)
Lineage: Eukaryota; Viridiplantae; Streptophyta; Magnoliopsida; Rosales; Rosaceae
Description: long non-coding RNA (MDOM_LNC019701)
Source: RNAcentral